This 72-nucleotide transfer RNA is filed under the name Sphaerodactylus townsendi. Its description in RNAcentral is "tRNA-Ala". It matches the Rfam family "tRNA". Rfam says of the family: Transfer RNA (tRNA) molecules are approximately 80 nucleotides in length. Their secondary structure includes four short double-helical elements and three loops (D, anti-codon, and T loops). Further hydrogen bonds mediate the characteristic L-shaped molecular structure. tRNAs have two regions of fundamental functional importance: the anti-codon, which is responsible for specific mRNA codon recognition, and the 3' end, to which the tRNAs corresponding amino acid is attached (by aminoacyl-tRNA synthetases). tRNAs cope with the degeneracy of the genetic code in two manners: having more than one tRNA (with a specific anti-codon) for a particular amino acid; and 'wobble' base-pairing, i.e. permitting non-standard base-pairing at the 3rd anti-codon position. Lineage: Eukaryota; Metazoa; Chordata; Lepidosauria; Squamata; Sphaerodactylidae. The record is from RNAcentral.
GGGGCUGUGGCUCAGUGGAAUAGCCUCUGUUUGGCAUGCAGAAGGUCUCAGGAUCAAUCCUCAACAUCUCCA